AUUGCACAAUGGGGGAAACCCUGAUGCAGCAACGCCGCGUGAGUGAUGAAGGUUUUCGGAUCGUAAAGCUCUGUCUUUGGGGAAGAUAAUGACGGUACCCAAGGAGGAAGCCACGGCUAACUACGUGCCAGCAGCCGCGGUAAUACGUAGGUGGCAAGCGUUAUCCGGAUUUACUGGGCGUAAAGAGCUCGUAGGUGGUUGGUCACGUCUGCUGUGGAAACGCAACGCUUAACGUUGCGCGUGCAGUGGGUACGGGCUGACUAGAGUGCAGUAGGGGAGACUGGAAUUCCUGGUGUAGCGGUGAAAUGCGCAGAUAUCAGGAGGAACACCGGUGGCGAAGGCGGGACUCUGGGCUGUAACUGACACUGAGGAGCGAAAGCAUGGGGAGCGAACAGGAUUAGAUACCCUGGUAGUCCAUGCCGUAAACGUUGGGCACUAGGUGUGGGGGACAUUCCACGUUCUCCGCGCCGUAGCUAACGCAUUAAGUGCCCCGCC
Molecule: ribosomal RNA, 495 nt
Filed under: uncultured Gram-positive bacterium
Lineage: Bacteria
Description: bacterial SSU rRNA
Rfam family: Bacterial small subunit ribosomal RNA
Source: RNAcentral